GAUGAACGCUGGCGGCGUGCCUAAUACAUGCAAGUCGAACGGUACUCUUUCGGGAGUACAGCGGCGAACGGGUGAGUAAUACAUAGGGAACCUGCCCUCGGGACCGGGAUAGCUGAUGGAAACGUCAGGUAAUAGCGGAUGUGAGUCAUUAUGGCAUCAUGAUGACUUGAAAGGAUGCAGCAAUGCAUCGCGCGGGGAUGGCCUUAUGGCGCAUUAGCCAGUUGGCGGGGUAACGGCCCACCAAAGCGAUGAUGCGUAGCCGAUCUGAGAGGACGACCGGCCACAUUGGGACUGAGACACGGCCCAGACUCCUACGGGAGGCAGCAGUAGGGAAUUUUCGGCAAUGGGCGCAAGCCUGACCGAGCAACGCCGCGUGAGUGUUAAGGCCUCGGUUGUAAAGCUCUGUUGCCGGGACGAACGGUACGUUAUAGGAAUGAUAAGUAAGUAGACGGUACCGGCGAGAAG
RNAcentral lists this ribosomal RNA (465 nucleotides) under uncultured bacterium. RNAcentral's name for it is "bacterial SSU rRNA". It matches the Rfam family "Bacterial small subunit ribosomal RNA", at positions 28 to 490 of the family's 1533-position model. The record is from RNAcentral.